Molecule: ribosomal RNA, 440 nt
Filed under: uncultured bacterium
Lineage: Bacteria
Description: bacterial SSU rRNA
Rfam family: Bacterial small subunit ribosomal RNA
Source: RNAcentral
CCUACGGGAGGCAGCAGUGGGGAAUAUUGGACAAUGGGGGCAACCCUGAUCCAGCCAUGCCGCGUGAGUGAAGAAGGCCUUCGGGUUGUAAAGCUCUUUCAGAUGCGAAGAUGAUGACGGUAACAUCAGAAGAAGCCCCGGCUAAUUUCGUGCCAGCAGCCGCGGUAAUACGAAAGGGGCAAGCGUUGUUCGGAUUUACUGGGCGUAAAGGGCACGCAGGCGGUCUUGCCAGUCAGGGGUGAAAGCCCGGGGCUCAACCCCGGAACUGCCUCUGAUACUGCAAGACUAGAGACUAGGAGAGGGUGGUGGAAUUCCCAGUGUAGAGGUGAAAUUCGUAGAUAUUGGGAGGAACACCAGAGGCGAAGGCGGCCACCUGGACUAGAUCUGACGCUCAGGUGCGAAAGCGUGGGGAGCAAACAGGAUUAGAUACCCUAGUAGUC